CUGGAGGUAUCAGAAGUGCGAAUGCUGACAUAAGUAACGAUAAAGCGGGUGAAAAGCCCGCUCGCCGGAAGACCAAGGGUUCCUGUCCAACGUUAAUCGGGGCAGGGUGAGUCGACCCCUAAGGCGAGGCCGAAAGGCGUAGUCGAUGGGAAACGGGUUAAUAUUCCCGUACUUGGUGUUACUGCGAAGGGGGGACGGAGAAGGCUAUGUUGGCCGGGCGACGGUUGUCCCGGUUUAAGCGUGUAGGUGUGUGUUCCAGGUAAAUCCGGUUCACUUUAACACUGAGGCGUGACGACGAGGCACUACGGUGCUGAAGCAACAAAUGCCCUGCUUCCAGGAAAAGCCUCUAAGCAUCAGGUAACAUCAAAUCGUACCCCAAACCGACACAGGUGGUCAGGUAGAGAAUACCAAGGCGCUUGAGAGAACUCGGGUGAAGGAACUAGGCA
Molecule: ribosomal RNA, 446 nt
Filed under: Salmonella enterica subsp. enterica serovar Agona
Lineage: Bacteria; Pseudomonadati; Pseudomonadota; Gammaproteobacteria; Enterobacterales; Enterobacteriaceae
Description: partial 23S ribosomal RNA
Rfam family: Bacterial large subunit ribosomal RNA
Source: RNAcentral